RNAcentral lists this ribosomal RNA (301 nucleotides) under uncultured bacterium. RNAcentral's name for it is "partial 16S ribosomal RNA". It matches the Rfam family "Bacterial small subunit ribosomal RNA", at positions 509 to 807 of the family's 1533-position model. The record is from RNAcentral.
CAGCCGCCGCGGUAACACAGAGGGUGCAAGCGUUAAUCGGAAUUACUGGGCGUAAAGCGCGCGUAGGUGGUUUGUUAAGUUGGAUGUGAAAUCCCUGAGCUUAACUUAGGAAUUGCAUUCGAUACUGGGAAGCUAGAGUAUGGGAGAGGAUGGUAGAAUUCCAGGUGUAGCGGUGAAAUGCGUAGAGAUCUGGAGGAAUACCGAUGGCGAAGGCAGCCAUCUGGCCUAAUACUGACGCUGAGGUACGAAAGCAUGGGGAGCAAACAGGAUUAGAUACCCCCGUAGUCCCUGUCUCUUAUAC